ACUAAGUUUCAACAACGGAUCUCUUGGCUCUCGCAUCGAUGAAGAACGCAGCGAAAUGCGAUAAGUAAUGUGAAUUGCAGAAUUCAGUGAGUCAUCGAAUCUUUGAACGCACCUUGCGCUCCUUGGUAUUCCUUGGAGCAUGCCUGUUUGAGUAUCAUGAAAU
RNAcentral lists this ribosomal RNA (163 nucleotides) under Ceratobasidium sp. AG-K. RNAcentral describes it as "5.8S ribosomal RNA". It matches the Rfam family "5.8S ribosomal RNA". From Rfam's summary of the family: 5.8S ribosomal RNA (5.8S rRNA) is a component of the large subunit of the eukaryotic ribosome. It is transcribed by RNA polymerase I as part of the 45S precursor that also contains 18S and 28S rRNA. Lineage: Eukaryota; Fungi; Basidiomycota; Agaricomycetes; Cantharellales; Ceratobasidiaceae. The record is from RNAcentral.